CAACAAGUAUUUCGCAAAAAAACAGCCAUAAAUUACGCUAAUCAAACUACUAAACUCACAAACAGGGGACAUAAAAGCGCCCUUCAGUGUCUUUACUAAUCAGUAAUCAAAGAUAAAGAUGAAGCUCGCUUGCUACAAACUUUUCGUCCUGUCAAUCUUCGCCUGCGUGCUGCUGGCGUCCGGAAAUCCAUCUAGAAGGCCAAGUCAGCAGGAAAGAAUGAUGAGUGGAAAUCACAGAAUUUAAGGGUUUGACGGGUUACGUCAUCUUCGAAUGAAUUUUGACAUAAAGUGACACAAUGUGAAAUCGUAUGAUUUUAACCUUGAAUAAAACAAAUUGACAGAUAUUC
This is a long non-coding RNA of Culex quinquefasciatus (southern house mosquito), 347 nucleotides long. RefSeq lists it as uncharacterized. NCBI's taxonomy places the organism in Eukaryota, Metazoa, Arthropoda, Insecta, Diptera, Culicidae. The record is from RefSeq and is a predicted model, not a curated record. The transcript is spliced from 2 exons.